RNAcentral lists this ribosomal RNA (253 nucleotides) under uncultured bacterium. RNAcentral's name for it is "partial 16S ribosomal RNA". It matches the Rfam family "Bacterial small subunit ribosomal RNA", at positions 524 to 776 of the family's 1533-position model. The record is from RNAcentral.
UACGUAGGGGGCAAGCGUUGUCCGGAUUUAUUGGGCGUAAAGAGCGUGUAGGCGGCUUUACAGGUCCGUUGUGAAAACUCGAGGCUCAACCUCGAGACGUCGGCGGAAACCCUCUGGCUAGAGUCCGGAAGAGGAGAGUGGAAUUCCUGGUGUAGCGGUGAAAUGCGCAGAUAUCAGGAAGAACACCCGUGGCGAAGGCGGCUCUCUGGGACGGUACUGACGCUGAGGCACGAAAGCGUGGGGAGCAAACAGG